GGAAGAGUGGGUGAGUUGGUUUAAACCACCAGGUUGCUAACUUGGCGUAGGAAGCAAUUUCUACCAUGGGUUCGAAUCCCAUCUCUUCCGCCA
This 93-nucleotide transfer RNA is filed under the name Candidatus Pelagibacteraceae bacterium. Its description in RNAcentral is "tRNA-Ser". It matches the Rfam family "tRNA". Rfam says of the family: Transfer RNA (tRNA) molecules are approximately 80 nucleotides in length. Their secondary structure includes four short double-helical elements and three loops (D, anti-codon, and T loops). Lineage: Bacteria; Pseudomonadati; Pseudomonadota; Alphaproteobacteria; Candidatus Pelagibacterales; Candidatus Pelagibacteraceae. The record is from RNAcentral.